Molecule: non-coding RNA, 836 nt
Organism: Oryctolagus cuniculus (rabbit)
Lineage: Eukaryota; Metazoa; Chordata; Mammalia; Lagomorpha; Leporidae
Source: RefSeq, a predicted model, not a curated record
ACUUUCCUAACAGUGAGGCAUUAUGAAGUCAGAGCAAGAAACUGACCAAUCACGGCUGCAGAUAAUUCACGGGGGGUUUCGCAGGAAUUUUAUAAUUAAAUUAAAAAGAUACCCUAAAAGAUUUUGCCUUUGAUGGGUGAUAGGGAUUGAUACUUCAUUUUUGAGAAAUUCAAACAAGUAUGGUGCUUCGGUGGUCUUGUCUUUUCUAGUGUAAAAGGUGAUAAUAAUGUGUGUCUUUCGAAGACCUCCUAGUGUCUCCACUUAGUAUAUCCCCUCCUUUGCCUUUACCCUCUGAGUGAUGGGUCUCUGAGUGAUGGAACAACUUCUCUGGCCUCGGUAAACUCAACACGUGUUCUGUUGCCCAAGACACCGUGGCCAGGUACACUGUCCGCAUCUCCAGAGCUGAGAGGAAGGUGGCUUUGUCACCCUUUCCCCCUAAGUCAUGGUCAGAUUUCUCGGCAGAAACCCCGAAGCCCAGAAGGCAGUGCGGUCCGUGCAGUCCAAACAGGGAAGGCCCAGUCAGUGGCAGCCGAGAAAGCUACAUCCUCCGAGACUGUCCUCCGCCUGGACCUGCACAGCCCAGAAAUGACGAGACUUGGCCGCAUCACAGCCUCGGAUCUGUCUCCUUGGGACAGCCUCGUGCUGAGCCCUCAGGACCAGUGUUUCUCCCGAGGAAGCCACAACCUCCUCUCAGUGCUGGUCCCUGCCUCAAGCCUGGGAGGAAAGAACCAGCACCCCAGGAAUUCUCACUACAGUUUCAUUACUUAAGCCAAAAAAAUUAAAGUAUGAUGACUCUUGUUACUGUUUUCCAUUAAGUAAAGGUAAUACCCGUCUUU